UGUUUCCGGUGAAGCACUUAUAUAGUAAGUUAGUGGGUGGUUUUCCGUUCACAUGGAUAGGCAACAAAGGGGCCUGGUAAGUCAUGAGGGUCCAGUGGAGGCUGUAUUUGGGAUCGAAGUAGGUUUAAGGAAGAUGGGCAGAAAACAUGAAGUUAGGUUUGAAGAAAGAGUUAGUUUUUUGGUUGGGAGGGUCUUUUCUUUAGUUGGUUUGUUGUCUUAGUGCUGUUGCUUGAAAUGAUGAAGGGAAGACAUGCAACAUUGCACAUGCUGGCAUGUGACACAAGCUCAAUGAUGGAUGUACCAAAGGGGAG
Molecule: long non-coding RNA, 311 nt
Filed under: Solanum tuberosum (potato)
Lineage: Eukaryota; Viridiplantae; Streptophyta; Magnoliopsida; Solanales; Solanaceae
Description: long non-coding RNA (STUB_LNC002161)
Source: RNAcentral